UACGUAGGGGGCAAGCGUUGUCCGGAAUCAUUGGGCGUAAAGCGCGUGUAGGCGGCCCGAUAAGUCCGCUGUGAAAGUCCAGGGCUCAACCCUGGAAUGCCGGUGGAUACUGUCGGGCUAGAGUCCGGAAGAGGCGAGUGGAAUUCCUGGUGUAGCGGUGAAAUGCGCAGAUAUCAGGAGGAACACCGAUGGCGAAGGCAGUUCUCUGGGCCGUAACUGACGCUGAGGAGCGAAAGCGUGGGGAGCGAACAGG
This 253-nucleotide ribosomal RNA is filed under the name uncultured bacterium. Its description in RNAcentral is "partial 16S ribosomal RNA". It matches the Rfam family "Bacterial small subunit ribosomal RNA", at positions 524 to 776 of the family's 1533-position model. The record is from RNAcentral.